UGGGGAAUAUUGCGCAAUGGGGGAAACCCUGACGCAGCCAUGCCGCGUGUGUGAAGAAGGCCUUAGGGUUGUAAAGCACUUUCAAUUGGGAGGAAAAGCUUGUCGUUAAUAUCGGCAAGCCCUGACGUUACCUUUAGAAGAAGCACCGGCUAACUCCGCGCCAGCAGCCGCGGUAAUACGGAGGGUGCAAGCGUUAAUCGGAAUUACUGGGCGUAAAGCGCGCGUAGGCGGUUAUUUAAGUCGGAUGUGAAAGCCCUGGGCUUAACCUGGGAACUGCAUUCGAUAUUGGGUAACUAGAGUACGAGAGAGGGAGGUAGAAUUCCACGUGUAGCGGUGAAAUGCGUAGAUAU
This 350-nucleotide ribosomal RNA is filed under the name uncultured bacterium. RNAcentral describes it as "bacterial SSU rRNA". It matches the Rfam family "Bacterial small subunit ribosomal RNA", at positions 355 to 697 of the family's 1533-position model. The record is from RNAcentral.